Drosophila melanogaster (fruit fly) is the source of this 23-nucleotide non-coding RNA. Lineage: Eukaryota; Metazoa; Arthropoda; Insecta; Diptera; Drosophilidae. The record is from Ensembl.
UUUCGAGACCACUCUAAUCCAUU